RNAcentral lists this long non-coding RNA (572 nucleotides) under Homo sapiens (human). RNAcentral describes it as "HSALNT0334170". Lineage: Eukaryota; Metazoa; Chordata; Mammalia; Primates; Hominidae. The record is from RNAcentral.
CUAAGGAAGUCUUCGGGGAGGAAAGAGUAUCUCAGAGGGGCAGGUGCAGCCACAGCGUGGGCCCGCGUGCCUGGUGCUAAGCUGGGCCCAUUACGCUUGGAAAAUCCUGGAGCCCAGAAAGGUGAAGCAAACUGCCUGAGGUCAAGCUCAUAAUGUGAAGUGGAGCUGCAAUGUCUACUCAAGAGUGUCUGACAUCUGCACUUUUUACUCUGCCAGGUAAGAAGACCCUCACCAGAUGUGGCCCCUCACUCCUGGACUUCCAAGCCUCCAGAAUCAUGAACUAAAUACAUUUCUAUUUGUUAUAAAUUACUCAGCCUCAGGUAUUGCUAGAGCAGUAGAAAACAGACUGAGAAAGGCUGUGUCUCCCUCCUCAGACUGAAGGAUCUUUGUGAUCAGAUGCUGUGUCUAUAUCCUUUGUUCAUUUGUUUGAUAUUUGCUGAGGACCUUUUAAGUGCCAGGCACUAUUCUAGAUUCAGAAUACUAUGUUGAAAAGACAGACAAAACCACUGGUCUCAUGGAACUUACAAGUUAGUUGCGACAAAUGACAAUAAACAACAAACAAUUUUAGGUUA